CCUACGGGUGGCAGCAGUGGGGAAUAUUGCACAAUGGUGGAAACCCUGAUGCAGCGACGCCGCGUGAGUGAAGAAGGAAUUCGUUAUGGAAAGCUCUAUCAGCAGGGAAGAAAAUGACGGUACCUGAGUCAGAAUCCCCGGCUAACUACGUGCCAGCAACCGCGGUAAUACGUCGGUGGCAAGCGUUAUCCGGAUUUAUUGGGUGUAAAGGGGGUGUAGGCGGGAGCGCAAGUCAGAUGGGAAAACUCAGGGCUCAACCCUGAGCCUGCAUUUGAAACUGUGUGUCUUGAGUGCGGGAGAGGCAAGCGGAAUGCGGGGUGUAGCGGUGAAAUGCGUAGAUAUAGGGAGGAACACCAGUGGCGAAGGCGGAAUGCCGG
This 377-nucleotide ribosomal RNA is filed under the name uncultured bacterium. Its description in RNAcentral is "partial 16S ribosomal RNA". It matches the Rfam family "Bacterial small subunit ribosomal RNA", at positions 338 to 732 of the family's 1533-position model. The record is from RNAcentral.